RNAcentral lists this ribosomal RNA (501 nucleotides) under uncultured bacterium. Its description in RNAcentral is "partial 16S ribosomal RNA". It matches the Rfam family "Bacterial small subunit ribosomal RNA", at positions 30 to 523 of the family's 1533-position model. The record is from RNAcentral.
AUUGAACGCUGGCGGCAGGCUUAACACAUGCAAGUCGAGCGGAGAGAGGUAGCUUGCUACUGAUCUUAGCGGCGGACGGGUGAGUAAUGCUUAGGAAUCUGCCUAUUAGUGGGGGACAACAUUUCGAAAGGAAUGCUAAUACCGCAUACGUCCUACGGGAGAAAGCAGGGGAUCUUCGGACCUUGCGCUAAUAGAUGAGCCUAAGUCGGAUUAGCUAGUUGGUGGGGUAAAGGCCUACCAAAGCGACGAUCUGUAGCGGGUCUGAGAGGAUGGUCCGCCACACUGGGACUGAGACACGGCCCAGACUCCUACGGGAGGCAGCAGUGGGGAAUAUUGGACAAUGGGGGGAACCCUGAUCCAGCCAUGCCGCGUGUGUGAAGAAGGCCUUAUGGUUGUAAAGCACUUUAAGCGAGGAGGAGGCUCUUUUGGUUAAUACCCAAGAUGAGUGGACGUUACUCGCAGAAUAAGCACCGGCUAACUCUGUGCCAGCAGCCGCGGUAA